RNAcentral lists this ribosomal RNA (477 nucleotides) under uncultured bacterium. Its description in RNAcentral is "bacterial SSU rRNA". It matches the Rfam family "Bacterial small subunit ribosomal RNA", at positions 28 to 517 of the family's 1533-position model. The record is from RNAcentral.
GACGAACGCUGGCGGCGUGCUUAACACAUGCAAGUCGAACGGUGACCCAGGGCUUGCCCUGGUGAUCAGUGGCGAACGGGUGAGUAACACGUGGGCAACCUGCCCCUGACUUCGGGAUAACUCCUCGAAAGAGGAGCUAAUACCGGAUACGACCACUUCGGACAUCCGAUGGUGGUGGAAAGUUUUUCGGUCAGGGAUGGGGCCCGCGGCCUAUCAGCUAGUUGGUGGGGUAAUGGCCUACCAAGGCGACGACGGGUAGCCGGCCUGAGAGGGCGACCGGCCACACUGGGACUGAGACACGGCCCAGACCCCUACGGGAGGCAGCAGUGGGGAAUAUUGCGCAAUGGGCGAAAGCCUGACGCAGCGACGCCGCGUGAGGGAUGAAGGGCCUUCGGGUUGUAAACCUCUUUCAGCAGGACGAAGCGAAAGUGACGGUACCUGCAGAAGAAGCACCGGCUAACUACGUGCCAGCAGCCG